AUAUCUCUCUGUACGGGAAGGAUGAGAAGCUUCGACUAAGGUUCGAUUCGAGCGAAAGCGAGAAAGCGUUGCCGCAGGCAACGACCCGAAGGGCGAAGCGCGCAGCGCUGAGUAAUCCUUCCCCUACCACCA
Molecule: small RNA, 132 nt
Filed under: Salmonella enterica
Lineage: Bacteria; Pseudomonadati; Pseudomonadota; Gammaproteobacteria; Enterobacterales; Enterobacteriaceae
Also listed under: 5 other names
Description: RtT sRNA
Rfam family: RtT RNA
About the family: This family represents a bacterial cis-regulatory element known as RtT RNA. The exact function of RtT is unknown although it is thought that it may be involved in changing the cellular response in relation to amino acid starvation.
Source: RNAcentral